GGUGCAUGGUUAUUAUUAUAUUAUGAUUUAAUUGCAAUUGAAUGAAAAUGGUUUUGGAUACUUAUGGUUUGACGUCUCCAGGCAUUUUCAGAGGAAUUAGGGCAAUAGGCACCCUGGAACAUUCCUGAAUUAAUGAGGCUGCAUAAAGCUCCCACAAAUCUACAAGCUCUUCCGACAAGUGAAUUUAGCCUUUUGGAAUGUUAGGGAAAAGGUUGAGGACGCCAAGAUGUAAACAGAGAGUUGAUAACCACUAGUGUUUGAAUAAGGUUGUCAGAUUUGUCAUUGCAGUAUCAGAUUAAUCACUGCUUUUUUUCUGUUGAACAAGAUGCUGUAUAGCAGAAAUAGAAACUGACCAAACUUUCUGUAUAUGAGGAGUACUCAGCUGCUAGAUAGAUGAAUCUGACGGGUGGGAACUGCCUACAGGAGACUGCACUGCUUCAGUGGCAUCUGCUUCUUAUAUUGUGGAUAUAGGAAGGGACCUGGAAUUGUCAGGUUUCACUGGCUGCAGAGAAUAGUCUACUAUAUCUUGAGACUGCUGCAAUCCUGACAGGUGGGUGCUCCGUACUCCAAAACAACCUUUGUGCUGCCGGUUUAUUCUCCGUCUGUGACCUCCAGUGCCGCAUGGCUCUUAGACAGUGAUGCUUCCAAGCUUCAGACAUCACUCAUAGAUGCGCUGAAUUUAGAACAGAUUUCAACUCAAAAGAGAUGUUGUUGGACGUUUCCUAAUCUGUUCUUCCUGGGCCAGACACAGGGAUCCAAAGAGAAACUCAUAAACAAGAAAAAGCAUGCCUACAAAACAGAACAUGGGGAAAACAUUAAAAGAGCAUUUGAGGUCAACAGCCAGGCUAACAGUGAAGAUGGAAUAAAGUACCUUUAUUUGCCAAGACAUUCAGCUGUGAUUCAGAAGUCUUGGGAUCACAAGACUCCACAGGGCUUAUCUUCAGAGGUUAAUUUGAAACAGACGUUCUCAUCAGUGCAUGGUCUCUUUAGUCUCUGUGGCAAUCCAA
This 1007-nucleotide long non-coding RNA is filed under the name Pogona vitticeps (central bearded dragon). RNAcentral describes it as "lncRNA (ENSPVIG00000023034.1)". Lineage: Eukaryota; Metazoa; Chordata; Lepidosauria; Squamata; Agamidae. The record is from RNAcentral.